AUACGGAGGGUCCGAGCGUUAUCCGGAAUCAUUGGGUUUAAAGGGUCCGUAGGCGGGAAUCUAAGUCAGUGGUGAAAUCUUGCAGCUCAACUGUAAAAUUGCCAUUGGUACUGGAUUUCUUGAAUUAGUGUGAAGUGGUUAGAAUGUGUAGUGUAGCGGUGAAAUGCAUAGAUAUUACACAGAAUACCAAUUGCGAAGGCAGAUCACUAACACUAUAUUGACGCUAAGGGACGAAAGCGUGGGGAGCGAACAGGAUUAGAAACCCCAGUAGUCC
RNAcentral lists this ribosomal RNA (274 nucleotides) under uncultured bacterium. RNAcentral's name for it is "partial 16S ribosomal RNA". It matches the Rfam family "Bacterial small subunit ribosomal RNA", at positions 523 to 796 of the family's 1533-position model. The record is from RNAcentral.